RNAcentral lists this ribosomal RNA (376 nucleotides) under uncultured organism. RNAcentral's name for it is "partial 16S ribosomal RNA". It matches the Rfam family "Bacterial small subunit ribosomal RNA", at positions 527 to 896 of the family's 1533-position model. The record is from RNAcentral.
GUAGGUGGCAAGCGUUGUCCGGAAUUAUUGGGCGUAAAGCGCGCGCAGGCGGUCCUUUAAGUCUGAUGUGAAAGCCCACGGCUCAACCGUGGAGGGUCAUUGGAAACUGGGGGACUUGAGUACAGAAGAGGAAAGCGGAAUUCCAAGUGUAGCGGUGAAAUGCGUAGAGAUUUGGAGGAACACCAGUGGCGAAGGCGGCUUUCUGGUCUGUAACUGACGCUGAGGCGCGAAAGCGUGGGGAGCAAACAGGAUUAGAUACCCUGGUGGUCCACGCCGUAAACGAUGAGUGCUAAGUGUUAGGGGGUUUCCCGCCCCCCUUAGUGCUGCAGCUAACGCAUUAAGCACUCCGCCUGGGGGAGUACGGCCCGCAAGGCUG